UACGUAGGGUGCGAGCGUUAUCCGGAAUGAUUGGGCGUAAAGCGUCCGCAGGUGGCUGUGUAAGUCUGCUGUUAAAGAGUGAGGCUCAACCUCAUAAAGGCAGUGGAAACUACAUGGCUAGAGUGCGUUCGGGGCAGAGGGAAUUCCUGGUGUAGCGGUGAAAUGCGUAGAGAUCAGGAAGAACACCGGUGGCGAAAGCGCUCUGCUAGGCCGCAACUGACACUGAGGGACGAAAGCUAGGGGAGCGAAUGGG
This 253-nucleotide ribosomal RNA is filed under the name uncultured bacterium. Its description in RNAcentral is "partial 16S ribosomal RNA". It matches the Rfam family "Bacterial small subunit ribosomal RNA", at positions 524 to 776 of the family's 1533-position model. The record is from RNAcentral.